UUAAGUGAAUAAGGGCGCACGGUGGAUGCCUUGGUACUAGGAGCCGAAGAAGGACGGAACUAACACCGAUAUGCUUUGGGGAGCUGUAAGUAAGCUAAGAUCCAAAGAUUUCCGAAUGGGGGAACCCAACACCUUUCAUAGGGUGUUACCAAUGAGUGAAUACAUAGCUCAUUAGGAGGUACACGCAGGGAACUGAAACAUCUCAUUACCUGCAGGAAGAGAAAGAAAAAUCGAUUCCCUGAGUAGCGGCGAGCGAAACGGGAGGAGCCCAAACCAACGAGCUUGCUUGUUGGGGUUGUAGGACUAGAACGUGAGAAGAAAUCAAGAUAGCAGAAGUGGUCUGGAAAGGCCCAUCAAAGAAGGUGACAAUCCUGUACGCGACAUCUUGAUGAACUCUACUAGCAUCCUGAGUACGGCGGGACACGAGGAAUCCCGUCGGAAUCCGCCAGGACCAUCUGGCAAGGCUAAAUACUACCUAGUGACCGAUAGUGAACCAGUACCGUGAGGGAAAGGUGAAAAGAACCCCGGGAGGGGAGUGAAAGAGUACCUGAAACCGUGUGCUUACAAGUAGUCAGAGCCCGUUAAUGGGUGAUGGCGUGCCUUUUGUAGAAUGAACCGGCGAGUUACGUUUACAUGCGAGGUUAAGAUGAAGAGUCGGAGCCGUAGCGAAAGCGAGUCUGAAUAGGGCGCAUGUAGUAUGUGGACGUAGACCCGAAACCAAGUGAUCUACCCAUGUCCAGGUUGAAGGUGCGGUAAAACGCACUGGAGGACCGAACCAGGGCACGUUGAAAAGUGCUUGGAUGACUUGUGGGUAGCGGAGAAAUUCCAAACGAACUUGGAGAUAGCUGGUUCUCUCCGAAAUAGCUUUAGGGCUAGCGUCGACAUAAAGAUUCUUGGAGGUAGAGCACUGUUUGGGUGAGGGGUCCAUCCCGGAUUACCAAUCUCAGAUAAACUCCGAAUGCCAAUGAAUUAUGGUCGGCAGUCAGACUGCGAGUGCUAAGAUCCGUAGUCGAAAGGGAAACAGCCCAGACCACCAGCUAAGGUCCCAAAAUAAUUGUUAAGUGGAAAAGGAUGUGGGGUUGCACAGACAACUAGGAUGUUAGCUUAGAAGCAGCUAUUCAUUCAAAGAGUGCGUAAUAGCUCACUAGUCGAGUGACCCUGCGCCGAAAAUGUACCGGGGCUAAAACAAUUUACCGAAGCUGUGGAUCCUUUAGGGGAUGGUAGGAGAGCGUUCUAUGUGUGGUGAAGGUGUACCGUGAGGAGCGCUGGAACGCAUAGAAGUGAGAAUGCCGGUAUGAGUAGCGAAAGACAGGUGAGAAUCCUGUCCACCGUAAGACUAAGGUUUCCAGGGGAAGGCUCGUCCGCCCUGGGUUAGUCGGGACCUAAGGAGAGACCGAAAGGUGUAUCCGAUGGACAACAGGUUGAUAUUCCUGUACUAGAGUAUGUAGUGAUGGAGGGACGCAGUAGGCUAACUAAAGCAGACGAUUGGAAGUGUCUGUCUAAGCAGUGAGGUGUGAAUUGAGUUAAAUGCUUAGUUCUAUAACAUUGAGCUGUGAUGGGGAGCGAAGUUUAGUAGCGAAGUUAGUGACGUCACACUGCCAAGAAAAGCUUCUAGCGUUUAAACAUACUCUACCCGUACCGCAAACCGACACAGGUAGUCGAGGCGAGUAGCCUCAGGUGAGCGAGAGAACUCUCGUUAAGGAACUCGGCAAAAUGACCCCGUAACUUCGGGAGAAGGGGUGCUGGUAGCAAUACCAGCCGCAGUGAAUAGGCCCAGGCGACUGUUUAUCAAAAACACAGGUCUCUGCAAAAUCGAAAGAUGACGUAUAGGGGCUGACGCCUGCCCGGUGCUGGAAGGUUAAGAGGAGAGGUUAGCGCAAGCGAAGCUUUGAAUUGAAGCCCCAGUAAACGGCGGCCGUAACUAUAACGGUCCUAAGGUAGCGAAAUUCCUUGUCGGGUAAGUUCCGACCCGCACGAAAGGCGUAACGAUUUGGGCACUGUCUCAACGAUGGACUCGGUGAAAUCAUAGUACCUGUGAAGAUGCAGGUUACCCGCGACAGGACGGAAAGACCCCAUGGAGCUUUACUGUAGUUUGAUAUUGAGUGUUUGUGUCACAUGUACAGGAUAGGUAGGAGCUGAAGAAUCCGGGACGCCAGUUUCGGAGGAGGCAACGGUGGGAUACUACCCUUGUGACAUGACCACUCUAACCCGCACCCCUUACCGGGGUGGGAGACAGUGUCAGACGGGCAGUUUGACUGGGGCGGUCGCCUCCUAAAGUGUAACGGAGGCGCCCAAAGGUUCCCUCAGAAUGGUUGGAAAUCAUUCGAAGAGUGUAAAGGCAGAAGGGAGCUUGACUGCGAGACCAACAAGUCGAGCAGGGACGAAAGUCGGGCUUAGUGAUCCGGUGGUACCGUAUGGAAGGGCCAUCGCUCAACGGAUAAAAGCUACCCUGGGGAUAACAGGCUUAUC
This 2469-nucleotide ribosomal RNA is filed under the name human oral metagenome. RNAcentral describes it as "bacterial LSU rRNA". It matches the Rfam family "Bacterial large subunit ribosomal RNA", at positions 1 to 2487 of the family's 2925-position model. The record is from RNAcentral.